GAUGAACGCUAGCUACAGGCUUAACACAUGCAAGUCGAGGGGAAACGACAUCGAAAGCUUGCUUUUGAUGGGCGUCGACCGGCGCACGGGUGAGUAACGCGUAUCCAACCUGCCCAUCACUUGGGAAUAACCUUGCGAAAGUAAGACUAAUACCCAAUGACAUCCCACGAAGACAUCUGAAUGGGAUUAAAGAUUUAUCGGUGAUGGAUGGGGAUGCGUCUGAUUAGCUUGUUGGCGGGGUAACGGCCCACCAAGGCAACGAUCAGUAGGGGUUCUGAGAGGAAGGUCCCCCACAGUGGAACUGAGACACGGUCCAAACGCCUACGGGAGGCAGCAGUGAGGAAUAUUGGUCAAUGGGCGAGAGCCUGAACCAGCCAAGUAGCGUGCAGGAUGACGGCCCUAUGGGUUGUAAACUGCUUUUAUAAGGGAAUAAAGUGGGUCUCGUGAGACUUUUUGCAUGUACCUUAUGAAUAAGGACCGGCUAAUUACGUG
Molecule: ribosomal RNA, 492 nt
Filed under: uncultured bacterium
Lineage: Bacteria
Description: partial 16S ribosomal RNA
Rfam family: Bacterial small subunit ribosomal RNA
Source: RNAcentral